RNAcentral lists this ribosomal RNA (701 nucleotides) under uncultured Methanotrichaceae archaeon. RNAcentral's name for it is "bacterial SSU rRNA". It matches the Rfam family "Archaeal small subunit ribosomal RNA", at positions 76 to 776 of the family's 1478-position model. Lineage: Archaea; Methanobacteriati; Methanobacteriota; Methanomicrobia; Methanotrichales; Methanotrichaceae. The record is from RNAcentral.
UUCGCCCUUACGGCUCAGUAACACGUGGACAACCUACCCUUUAGGACGGGGAUAAACCCGGGAAACUGGGUAUAAUACCCGAUAGUCCUCGGCCGCUGGAAAUGCCCCGAGGACAAAAGCUCCGGCGCCUAAGGAUGGGUCUGCGGCCCAUCAGGUAGUAGUGGGUGUAGCGUACCUACUAGCCUACGACGGGUACGGGUUGUGAGAGCAAGAGCCCGGAGAUGGAUUCUGAGACACGAAUCAGGCCCUACGGGGUGCAGCAGGCGCGAAAACUUUACAAUGCUGGAAACAGCGAUAAGGGGACCUCGAGUGCCAGGUUACAAAUCUGGCUGUCGUGAUGCCUAAAAAGCAUUGCAUAGCAAGGGCCGGGCAAGACCGGUGCCAGCCGCCGCGGUAACACCGGCGGCUCGAGUGGUAACCGUUAUUAUUGGGUCUAAAGGGACUGUAGCCGGCCGGAUAAGUCUCUUGGGAAAUCUGGCAGCUUAACUGUCAGGCUUUCAGGAGAUACUGUCUGGCUCGAGGCCGGGAGAGGUGAGAGGUACUUCAGGGGUAGGGGUGAAAUCUUGUAAUCCUUGAAGGACCACCAGUGGCGAAGGCGUCUCACCAGAACGGACCUGACGGCAAGGGACGAAAGCUAGGGGCACGAACCGGAUUAGAUACCCGGGUAGUCCUAGCCGUAAAACGAUACUCGCUAGGUGUCG